Coturnix japonica (Japanese quail) is the source of this 3556-nucleotide non-coding RNA. Lineage: Eukaryota; Metazoa; Chordata; Aves; Galliformes; Phasianidae. The record is from RefSeq and is a predicted model, not a curated record.
GGCCGGAAAUAAGGCGGAACCGGAAGUGCGUGAGGCGGGGCGGUAGUCAAGAUGGCGGCUGUCAAGAUGGCGGAGGAAGCGGAUCCUGAAAGUGGAAACGUGAUCACCACCAUCACAUCACCAUCAGCCGUAGGGCUGAGGGAUAUGUCUCCAUGUGGGCACCUCCUGCUGCUGUUAUUGGAGCCCAGCGCCAGAGCUCAGGUACCAACCCAACAACCUGACACCAUGGAGUGACAGAGAUCUGCUUCCAGGGCCUCAGAGCCGGCACAUGAAGCACCAUUUUCUGUUACAUCUUGGAAACGAGUCCCCUGAAACAGCUGAUUGCUGCCAUGGAUGGAACCCUUCUGAGCGUGUUCUAAUGUUAAAAGCAGGAAGGGAUGAACAGAGUUGGUAAAGAUGCUCAGUUCCAUGCAGUGCAUUCUAACAGCCCACAUCAAUUAGCUAAUGAAUAUUUGCAUGCCAUUGGCAAAUGCUUCCCUGCAAUUGCUUCGCAUUAUUCAAAAACCCAGAGUUACAGCUCAGCUGCUCAAUAAUUCAGUGCCUAAAGGAAUGUCGAUACAUGCACAAACGGAUCCAGAGGAUGGCAAACAACCUCCACUUCUGUACCCAAGACACAAGCCUAAACUUACAAGGUAAAGGACACUUGGGACGACAAAGUUGCAAGCAAAAAAAACCCCUCAGGAUUAAGGCAAAAAAAAAAUAAAGAUGAAAAUAAAAAUAAACCCAUCCACAAAAGCGACCAAAUGAGAUAGAGAUACAAUGUUCCGCAGCUCUUUAAUCAUACCGUUUUCUUUAAUAAAGAGGUGGUUACGAUCUUACAGUGUUACCUUUUGGCCUAAUCCAAGGGUUCUGUUACUCUUUGACCGCUCUUAAUUCCACGCAUAGCAAAAAAAAAACCACCAAAAGAACCAAAAGUCGAUACCCGACCUUUCAAAUAUACGCCAUUAUUUUCUUAAUAAAAUAAGUUUUGUGCUGCUGCUCGUUUCGUUAAGUACUGUACAUCAACUGUUCACAUCUAUUGAACAAACGGACCGUACAGAGUUCAAGCUAAAGCAAAAAAGAAACCAACAACCCAAGGAGGGGGUUUGUAAACACCCCACUGACAGUUCAACACCUGCUGGAUAAAGGAGGUACGAAAGGGGGCUUAGAACUGAACACAAAAGCACUGGAGUCCCCAUGGAUUUUCUUUCACAACUAUCGAAGUGCAAAUCACUCAGGCAAGAUAUGGAUUUCAUGUGUUUAUUGCUGUCCUGCUGUCUGGCUUCCCUUCCUAAAAGAACGACAUUCUUUAUUCACACUCAUUUUCCAUGUAGAAAACCUUCCACGAGGCAACGCUGAAUGCGUUUGUGACACGACGCAUUGGCUCAGAGGCUUGCAAGUAAUGGGACACCCCGACUGCCCCCGUCACGUCCAGGUGUGAGACAAGGGAAACAAACAGCAUCCAAGAACCUACAGAUAAAUGGAGGUUAUUCCUCUUCCCACAAGGCUUGCAUGCACUUGGCGAUGUUUCCAGUUGCAGAAGGAACGCGUGCGCAUUGAAAAGGCAGAGAGACUCGGGAGCCAUUCGGGACGUCCAGGUGGGGUUUGUGGCUAACUACAAAUCCUGAUACGUCUCUGGCUUAACAGCUAUCUGCUACGGGUAGCAAAAUGCACAGCACCUCAACAUGCACUUAUUUGAUUGCAUCUUGGACAAGGAAACAGUAGAAAUAUCGAAUGCUGGAGCCGCGCAGAAGGUACAGUGCAUAGUCUGUUAUAGAAAACAUGCGGGUAACCCAAUCCCCUUCUAAAUAUCUUCCAAGUGGAAAUACAGGUUGGAGGGCACAGCAGCUAUUGAGUUUGGCUUUUUUAUUGAAUCAAAACCACGAAAACCCAAUGCAGAGGGUGAAAUAAGGGCAGAACGCGAUCUGCAAGUCACCAGCUGAGCGUUUCAGAAGCUGUGAAGCUUUUGUGUAGUUAAAAUUGCUGUUAAAAGUAGGUGCUACAUCAGCAAGUCUUCAUUCAUAGUUCUCUAUGAACAGCCACCUUACAAAUGAGUGCAAAUCUUAAAGGUCCAUUUUACAUUUCAAGUCUCAAGGUUAAAAAAAAAGAAAACGACGACAACGACAACAAAACAUUACAGAGCAACAAGCGGGUUUCUGUAAAUGCCCACACCGUCUCUUCUCCAAUGGUUAAAAAUGGCACGUGCUCUGCCACAGCUACUGCAAGACAUUGCAGAACUCCAGACCCAACUAAAACACUGACAGAAAAACUAGGAACCAAAAUACCUUCACCCCUCGCUGCCGCCAGCAGCCGGGUGCUUUCCUUUGUAAUGCUGGUGAACAAACCCACUUACAGAGAGAACCUUGACCUUAACCCUGGUUUGAUUCUUAACGAGGGGCUCUCUAAUACUUGGUGAGCAGGUACAGCCCCUCUGAGACCGUUUUGCUUUCAACGAACACAAGCCAGAGGUCUGAGGAUGAAAUGGAGAGGUGCUGGAUUUGUGUCACUAUGCAGGCACUUGUGUAUAGGAAUGUAGGCUUCUCGCAUUGACGCUUUAGUGUUGAUGCAUUCCCUGCUCUCUAAAAGCUUUCCUAAGACUUCACACCCUACUGACCAUGAAGAGCUCCUGGUCUCCUCCCCACCACCCUGCAGACAGACAGCAGCGGUGUUUGACACAAGGUGCAAAGGAGAAUGUGAACCAAAUACCGCAGUCCCGAGGAAAAAAGACAACUGUGCUAAAUGUAGGAUCUUCACCAAAGGUGACAUCAGCGGGCUCAGAGCUUAAGUUUGCAUAGCAUAUAGAUGUCUUCAUUGUUCACAAACACGUUGCCCAAAAAGAAAACAGGUAGAGUGAAUUCCCGGUAUUAGGACAGAUCAAUGGGCCAGCACAACUAGUGCGGAUUUCAUGAAGGCAAGGCGAGUUGAAACAUCAGAAAGUACAAAACAAAAAGGUGUGCUUGUAUCACUGACAAGGGGCAGUGCUGGUGACAGAUCUGCUCUGAAAACCAUGUCCGCUUUUGGCAGUAAAAUGAUAACAGUGCUCUUCUGCUAAGAGCUCGGUAGGAGCGCACACUGUUUCUCUCUUCAAGGAAGUGUUGUGCACACCCUUCAUAUAGAAAAUAAAUCCAAUCUGCCCACGUGAUAUUGGUAAUGAGUUGUUCCUACUGCCCUGCCGUGCAUAAUGGCCAUUCUGUGCGGCAAAAUGAGUCUGAAAAGCAGCCACCAUGUUACAAACAAACAAAAAAAAAAGGCUUUUUUUCCCCCUACCCCCCCUCCCCAUUAAAAACAGAUCGGGAGGAGCUUCCCCACCACCAUGAGAAGGAUUCGAUCAUUCGUACUAAGGAACGCCUCCGGUGUGCUUCCAGAACUAAACUGGGUGACCCAAAGAGCAGCACAGCAGUGGAGAGGCCCCGAGCUGCACGGCCACGUUGUGGAACGCACAGGAAACCUUGGGAGCCUCUGAUGAUGUAAACUCUGAGGAGGUGAAUGACUCGUGUGAUUUGGCAACAGACUCAGCAUCGUAUAAAAAUAACGCCCAGUAAAAAAACCCCGGUGUCCAUCAAUAGAAAUUCGGGGG